Long non-coding RNA from Rhipicephalus sanguineus (brown dog tick), 597 nucleotides. RefSeq lists it as uncharacterized. The record is from RefSeq and is a predicted model, not a curated record. The transcript has 4 exons. Lineage: Eukaryota; Metazoa; Arthropoda; Arachnida; Ixodida; Ixodidae.
CGUAGUGUCGAGUUUUGUUCACGCUGUCGACCUUUACUGCGUUACCUCGCAUUGUGUGUUGUGUGUUGCGGUUACUGACGUAAGCGCAAGUUCUUCACUGAGUAUGAUGCGCGGCAGCGUGCAAAUAGUCACCAGAUGCCGGCCGUGCGACUCCGUUCUCUGCGACUCCUUUGUUCGGUGUGAUCGAGGGACGUGAUUCAUGCUUUGGAGACCCUCUUUAGACCGUGCCCUCAUCAAAUGUUUCCACACAUCAGUGAGUAGCAGCACCGCAAUCCUUACUCGACGACACGCUCUGUGGGCCUGGAAAAUGCCUUGACGUUCGAGCACUUCGGGAGCUAUACCGGCGGACAGCCGGACGCGGGUAGCUUGGCCGUUCCUUGCUCUGCACAUCGCUUGAAAACCGGCGGUCAUCCUGCAGCGUACGCUGCCAGCGUGCUUUCUUGCCAGAGCCGCCUCCCCUGCUGGUGAUGACCAUAUGCAGCCAAUGCUGAUGUGAACCUGAGUGAUGAACAAAUGCAGAUCUGCAAAGGAGCUGUCCUGAAGCACCAUGCUUACUCAAGUCAUGCAGCGAGAGUCAGCAUGCCUGGAAAAGUACUU